RNAcentral lists this ribosomal RNA (253 nucleotides) under uncultured bacterium. Its description in RNAcentral is "partial 16S ribosomal RNA". It matches the Rfam family "Bacterial small subunit ribosomal RNA", at positions 524 to 776 of the family's 1533-position model. The record is from RNAcentral.
UACGAAGGGGGCUAGCGUUACUCGGAUUGACUGGGCGUAAAGGGCGCGUAGGCGGUUCGUACAGUUAGACGUGAAAUUCCUGGGCUCAACCUGGGGGCUGCGUUUGAUACGUGCGGGCUUGAGUUCGGAAGAGGGUCGUGGAAUUCCCAGUGUAGAGGUGAAAUUCGUAGAUAUUGGGAAGAACACCGGUGGCGAAGGCGGCGACCUGGUCCGAUACUGACGCUGAGGCGCGAAAGCGUGGGGAGCAAACAGG